Long non-coding RNA from Oncorhynchus kisutch (coho salmon), 1589 nucleotides. RefSeq lists it as uncharacterized. The record is from RefSeq and is a predicted model, not a curated record. The transcript has 3 exons. Lineage: Eukaryota; Metazoa; Chordata; Actinopteri; Salmoniformes; Salmonidae.
AUGAUGUGAGUUAACAUAGUGUGUUGUCCUAGCAUUGUUGUUCUAGAAAUUCUUGCUUGACAAAUUACUCUUUGCUAAGAAACUAUGUUUGUUUCUUUUUUUUUAAAACAACCACAGUAAUUGUUGCCCAGAUAAAGGAACGUAUGAGUUGGACCGUUAAGCACAUUAAGUAUGUUGCUGCUAUAGUGUGUCAAAGCCUUUUGUGCAUGUCAGUUUCAGAUGCAGGUGUCUUUGACAGGCAUUGUCUUUAACUGUCACAACAAAUGUAUUACUGAGAAACACAAAUAAUCCCCAAUAAAAGGAUGUCUAGAUGGCUCAGCUGGUUGGAGCAUGGCACUGGCAGCACCAUUGUUGUGAAGUCAAUUUAUGCAUGGUUUACAAAUACUUUGGGUGCUAAGUUGCUUUGAAUGAAAGUUUCUGCUAAAUCAUUAUACAUACACUUAUUUGACAUUCUCUGAUCAAGAUAAUUACAGUAAAUUCCCUUUGAGAAAAGGUCCAAUGGGCUUUGUAGGUGUCAUAACCCGUACAAAUAUCCGCAAUAUUCCCGCUGUACACAUUAAUAAGCAAAGAAUGGAAUGCAAGACAUGAAGCGCUGUUCUCUGGAGUCUGACUUGAUCUACUUCCACCCCGAUGACUCAGGAAUAAUCAUCCAUGUUGCACCAUAAAAUGAGUCUACCCCCCCCCCCCUAUAGUAUACUAUCAAUAUACUAUCACAGCUCAUCAAGGUGAUGUUAGUUAACAUAGUGUUUUGGCACAUAUAUAUCCAUUGGUCUUAAUACAUUUUAUGUGAGAUAUAUUUUCUCCAUCAUAGAGAUAUAAGGGUUAAAAGAGCCUUUCUUGCUGCUGUGCUGGAUUCAUAAAACCCCUUGUCUUCUAUCCUCCAUAGGCUGCCUCCCAGAUCAGUUUCACCUAAAAUAGAGGGAGGGGGUGCUUAUAUUUGUCCUGUUUCACAUACAGUAUGUACAAGUGUGUAACCUGUACAAGUGCGUGGUGUGAAAUGGAAAUGUGAUUUUUGCAUAUCCCGCUCCCCCUGAGACACCCUUGGAGAGUGGGGUAAUGGCCAGUGAUCAGCCAUUAUCGGCCAGGGAUCACCUCCUCAGGCUGCAUAGUGAAGAGACGAUUUCAUCAGCUGAAUGAUGACCCAGAGCAAGAGAUAUUCCAGACGGUGGAGUAUUAGAAUGAGCUUGACCUUCUGGCUGUUGUGGAGGUGACCCACAGAGAGGAUGAGGAUUAGGCCCAAGUCAGACUCCACACAACAACACUGGAGCGUUACUGAAGAGGGUUCCGCUUGUGGAGUCAUGGGGAUGCGACUCACAGCUACAAGCUGUUCUUUGACAGAGAUACGAUUGUUUACAUUGAACAGACGAAGAAUAAUAACUUAUAUGCCAUGUCUACAAAAUCAGUCGUGGACAAGCAGAUGAGUGAAAUGACUUGAAGCUGGGAUAAUCAUGGGACAUUCCUUUCAACUGCUAAUGAUAUAAUUCAAAAAUUAUUCCUAAAAUAGCCCUGUUGAAUAUGUUUUAAUACUUGUUUUUUUACACUUAUUUAUUUGCCAAUAAUGACUACAUGCUGUCAUCCUGUUGUUCUUU